CAUCUGAUCUCGUUCGAUGGUUCCGCCAAGCUGGGCCAGGCCCAUCACAAUGCGUUGCACAGUCUUUCUCCUGCGCCCCUAGCUUCUCUCCCCUGGCGAUCCCUCUCUAUUCAACCCUAGCCGUCAGGCCUCCUCACCCCAACAAUCUCCUUCCUCCACCCGUCGGCGUCCUCCACACGUGGCUAGAGAAGCCCCAUCCUCGGCCUUCCGAGGUCGCCGGCGUGCUCCAUGAUCGGCCGUGCGAUCUCACCAACGACAUCCUCGCCAUUUUCUUCCAAGCGCUGCUAGGGAAGGGCAAUUUGCCUGCAUGACUGCGGAAAAAAAUCAAUUUGGAUCGCUGCGCCGCUGGCUGCUGGCCUCUCCCCGCCGCGUUGCGCUGUCCCGCGAAAGCGCCAGUGCCGCCGAGCUGAAGAACAAGGAGACCGGAGACGGAAACCGUUUCCUCUAGGUGGGAGAGCAACUCCCUUAUCCAUGUCCUCCCCUUUUGGAUGCGGCCGCAGAAGUGGCGCAGUUACCAUGUUCCAGCCACCCCUCCAUCAAUGGCCGCUCUGUCUCUGGCGUGCAUCUCGGGGCGGCAUCCCCCUCCCCCAUGCUCUCACUCCAUAGCCCCCGCACUCACCAUAUCUACCUCUAAUGAAGCCUUUGCAGAAUUCAUAUUCUGAUCUAAACCUCAACCCCCUCUUGAUUUCACAGAAUCUAACCAUGUAUGUGUGGUUGAUGUGUCUAACAGUGCAGAUCCACAGCAGUUUGCACGAUUGUAUUUUCCUAGCGGUGCAGAUCCACGAUGCCAUCGUUGUGGUGCUACCCAGAUGUUUUUCCUAUCCUCUCUCUCUCUUCACAUGAUACGCCACUCUCCCUCCAGUUUCCUCUAUUACAAGUGUUCAUCUUUGAUGGAGAAUGUCCAAGGGGCACUGCCACUAUGAACUGCUCUAUGGGGUUUGAUAAUAUGCAACUUAACUGAAGAAUCCAUACACUGUAGGUUUAUUUCUCACAGCAGCAUUUAUGAUCUCCCAGUAUUUAAAUUUUUGACAUCCACUUACAGGAAACAUAAUAAGGUAAAUCAUUUUUCAAAAUCGAAUUGCAUAUAUCUUGAGUAGUAGUGUGCAGUUGUGAAGAAUGACGUCGUUCACGUGAAAGCCCUUGUUCCCCGUCAACUCUAUCAUGCCCCACAACAGUUCCUUCAGAUUUGCACUUGUCGUUUCUGAUUUUCUGGUAAUUUGAUAGGGUUCAGUUUUUACAAAUUUUAGUUGUCGUAUCUCCUGCAACAUUUGUAAUCUCAAGUGUGUAACUUAAGUUGCUUAACCAUGUUGAUAUUGGAAAUGUUGCUUCAAGUUCGACGUGUUUAGGCUCCAAACCAUGUGAUGUCAUGUAGAUAUGUCAGGUCCAAGAGGUGAUCAAAGCGGUGGAGAGGGAGCUGGGUGUAAGUGCUAGCCCUUCAUACUUUGAUCCAUCGAGCUUAUUUGGUCACCACUGCAUCUUUUUAUAUUGUGCAUGGAGAACGCAGGUGAAACAGAGCAUAUUUAUUUGCAGCUCAAAUGGCAAAUGCAGGAGUAAUCAAUCUGGUGUAUGCGUGCAGGUACAAUAGGCCUCAAUCUUUCUUAUGGAGCCCUCGUCGUGCACAAGUGUAAACUGAAAUGCCUUUGUUUGAGGCUUUUCUAACUAUCCAUAACAUGUGCAAUUGCAUGCCUCGGAUCGAAAUAUUACAGAUGAGAUUUGCUAAGUGUCUGCAAGAGCUGUCGGCCCAGAUUUCACAUCAAAGGUAGUUAAUCUAUUUUUUUUCUUUGUGUUUAGUUCAGAUACACUAAUACUGUUUUGUUCAGUUUCGGACGAGCAACAUUUGCAAGCACCCUUUUUUCCUGGCACAACUAUGUACUGUCCAAAAAAGAGUACUAAAUCUCAUUUCAAACUUAGAAAAUCGGUUGUCCGGUUGCUCUUUUGUUUGUAUUGUUUAAAUCUUUUUUUUGUCAAAGGAUGUACCCAAGAGAAGAGGCAAAGCGACUCAAAGUUUUGUUGUAGCAGAUUAAGGAGAAGUAGAUACGACAAUUUAGUGUGAAGAGCCGAAGAUGUAUUUGCCAGACCAUAUGGGUGGUUUAUGUGAUUGUGUAACGUCAAACCAGCCAUUACAACUGCAAUAUGGGUGAUGCUGCAUACCAAAAAAGAGCAUGGUGAUUGGAUAUCAUGGAGAAGACAACCCUUUGCAUAUAAUGCCAAAUGUGUUUUUGCGAGGAGGCAUUCACACAUGGUCAAGUUCAGCGGUGUGACAUGACAUUAUUAUCGCCAAUGUAACCAUGUCCGGUGGCCACUUGGGUCUGUCCAUGGACAUGUUUACAGCCACAUAACAUCUGGUGCGAGCAUGACAAUGACAGAUUAGGAACAGAGAGAGUCGGAGAGGGGGCUGCUGAGAGGCCACUCCUUCCAACCCUUUCAUCACCGGAUUAGGAGCCAACUGCCAAACAUAGCAGCGCUGGAGAGAAGCGACGGGACAUGCACAUGAGGCCGCACAUGAUACUAGGGGCUGGACACCGUUAAUUAGUUUGCAGCAGAGGCAACGAGGUGAAAAUUUCUAGGCUGAUUGAGGCAACACAGUGAGAACAUGAACUGGCGGUUUGGGGAUUUUUAUUUUGUGCGGUCCGGUGUGGGAUUCGGGGAUUUUUGCUCCGGUGUGGUGGCCGGUGUGUCGUGACUCGCGAGCAAGGCUACCCCUGGUAACUACAUGAGCUGUGGUGAGCAAGCGUUGAAACCGUCAUGGCGUCCAUGUAUGCGCCCAGAGAGAGUUGAGGGGGACUAGAUUAAUUUGUGGUAGAAUUAGUAUAAUGAAUUUUACAUACAUAUAUGAGGCUACUUACUAAAGUUUACUACUAAUUGAGAUUU
Molecule: long non-coding RNA, 2871 nt
Organism: Lolium perenne
Lineage: Eukaryota; Viridiplantae; Streptophyta; Magnoliopsida; Poales; Poaceae
Source: RefSeq, a predicted model, not a curated record